RNAcentral lists this ribosomal RNA (618 nucleotides) under Triticum aestivum (bread wheat). RNAcentral's name for it is "partial small subunit ribosomal RNA". Lineage: Eukaryota; Viridiplantae; Streptophyta; Magnoliopsida; Poales; Poaceae. The record is from RNAcentral.
AUGGCGGCCAGCGCCGGCAGCAAGAUCCGCAACGCCAAACUGGUUCUUCUUGGCGAUGUGGGUGCUGGGAAAUCCAGCCUGGUGCUUCGGUUCGUAAAAGGACAAUUUGUUGAGUUCCAGGAAUCGACAAUUGGAGCGGCUUUCUUCUCUCAAACAUUGGCCGUUAAUGACGAGACUGUUAAGUUUGAAAUCUGGGAUACAGCUGGGCAGGAGAGGUAUCACAGCUUGGCCCCCAUGUACUAUAGGGGUGCUGCCGCAGCCAUAGUUGUCUAUGACAUCUCGAACCAGGCAUCCUUCACCCGAGCAAAGAAAUGGGUUCAAGAACUUCAAGCUCAAGGAAACCAGAAUACAGUAGUGGCUCUUGCUGGCAACAAAGCUGAUUUGCUCGAGGCGAGGGAGGUUCAAAUAGAGGAAGCCAAGACAUAUGCGCAGGAGAAUGGCCUCUUCUUCAUGGAAACGUCUGCUAAAACUGCAACCAAUGUGAAUGACAUAUUUUAUGAGAUUGCGAAGAGAUUGCUUCAGGGGCAGGCGGCGCAGAACCCACAGACGGCGGGGAUGGUUCUCUCCCAGAGACCCAAUGAGAGAGUGGUCAGCGCGGCUUCGUGCUGCUCCUCCUGA